Molecule: ribosomal RNA, 309 nt
Filed under: Candidatus Omnitrophota bacterium
Lineage: Bacteria; Pseudomonadati; Candidatus Omnitrophota
Description: partial 23S ribosomal RNA
Rfam family: Bacterial large subunit ribosomal RNA
Source: RNAcentral
UCGGUCUCUAUCUGAUGUGGGUGUUAGGAUACUUGAAGGGGAGUUCUCUUCAGUACGAGAGGACCUAGAGAAACGAACCUCUGGUGUUCCGGUUGUCCUGCCAAGGGCAAAGGCCGGGUAGCUAUGUUCGGAAAGGAUAAACGCUGAAAGCAUCUAAGUGUUAAGCCCCCCCCAAAAAUAGGUAUCCCUUCCUUGGCCGUAAGGCCGAGGAUGUAGGCUGGUCGUAGACUACGACCUUGAUAGGCGCAAAGUGUAAGAUCCGUAAGGAUUUCAGCUAAUGCGUACUAAUCAGCCAAUCGGCUUGGCCUA